GUGCCUAUACUCUGCCGUCAACGGCAAAGCGGGCGGCCCCUUACGGGGCGUCGCCGUUACGCCUUGACGAGUAGGAGGGUCGCGGCGGUGUGCGCGGAAGGGUCUGGGCGUGAGCCCGCCUGGAGCCGCCGCCGGUGCAGAUCUUGGUGGUAGUAGCAAAUACUCCAGCGAGGCCCUGGAGGACUGAUGUGGAGAAGGGUUUCUUGUGAACAGCUGUUGCACAAGAGUCAGUCGAUCCUAAGCCCUAGGAGAAAUCCGAAGCGAUUGUCUGCCGUUAAACUCUCUAGUGCCUGUCGCAAGCCCGGCGUCGUCCGGCGCUUGCGGCGGUGUAUUUUUUUGAGCUGGCAGCGUCUGGGCGAAAGGGAAUCCGGUUCCUAUUCCGGAACCCGGCAGCGGAACCGCUCCAAUUCGGGCCCUCAUCCGAGGACUCGUCGGGGCAACCCAAAAUGACCCGGAGAAGCCGUAGGGAGGUCCGGGGAGAGUUGUCUCUUCUCUAUAAGCGUUCGAGUUCCCUGGAAUCCUCUAGGAGGGAGAUAGGGUUUGGAACGCGAAGAGCACCGCACUUACGGCGGUGUCCGGAUCUUCCCCUCGGACCUUGAAAAUCCGGGCGAGGGCCACGAGGAACACCGCGCCGGCUCGUACCCAUAUCCGCAGCAGGUCUCCAAGGUGAAUAGCCUCUAGUCGAUAGAAUAAUGUAGGUAAGGGAAGUCGGCAAACCCGAUCUGUAACUUCGGGAUAAGGAUUGGCUCUGAGGAUCGUGGCGUGCCGGGCUUGGUCGGGAAGUGGAGCGGUGCCAACGUGCCGGGCCUGGGCGAGGUGAAGGGCGCUCGUCGUCCGGACCCUAGCUCGGUCCCGUGCCUUGGCCACCCACGGACCUUCCUUGCUGCGAGCCUCCCGGCUGUCUAGUUGCUGGGCUUGCCCAGAGGACGGGCCGGAAGGCUCUUCGGCCGCCAUAGAACGAUCAACUUAGAACUGGCACGGACCAGGGGAAUCCGACUGUCUAAUUAAAACAAAGCAUUGCGAUGGCCCCAAGGGGUGAUGACGCAAUGUGAUUUCUGCCCAGUGCUCUGAAUGUCAACGUGAAGAAAUU
RNAcentral lists this ribosomal RNA (1090 nucleotides) under Rhopalus parumpunctatus. RNAcentral's name for it is "partial large subunit ribosomal RNA". It matches the Rfam family "Eukaryotic large subunit ribosomal RNA", at positions 1338 to 2232 of the family's 3401-position model. Lineage: Eukaryota; Metazoa; Arthropoda; Insecta; Hemiptera; Rhopalidae. The record is from RNAcentral.